GGGACCCGCGGAGUGCCUUCAAGCAGGGGCCCGGCGGGAACAUACCGCCGCCGCGGCGGGAGCUGGGUUCGCGUGGCUGGAGGCGGGUCCUCCCCUUCCCACAGUUCCCGCAAGUCCUCGGCUCCCGGGAACCUCUGCCUUCAGGGCGCUCAGUUCUUGGAAGUCAAGGCGGGCUCCAGCCAGAGCUGGUAGAAGUGGUGGCAGCCCCCGCCCAUCAUCUCCCCAAAGCAGCGUUCGGAGCCACCAGGGCCGAAACGCCGUUGGAACGCGAGCGGGAGCCUGAGACGUCCAGACCAGCGGAGCCCAAGCGGCUUCCGGCUCAAGGGGGUGAGUGAUCUCGAGGAGGAAACCGGGCGUUCGCAUCCUCGCGCCUCCGAGAGAUGUGCAGUUUCCAAAACAAUUUACCUCUGCUGGAACAAGGAAAUAAACCAAGAAAAAGGAAGAUAUGGGAUCCAGGAAGCAGAAGAUUCAAUACAGAACAGAGAUGGAGGGAAUUCCAGGUCCACAUCUGUGCAGCAGACAUGGAAAGCUGUCAGUACAGACUGGAACUGGAGGAUGGAGGGAUCUGGGAGAGAUGUCUCCAGGAAGGCAAAAGCAUGCAACUAAAAGGAGUGAUGAAUUUCAUAAUAAGUUUGACUCACAAAAAAAAGUGUACCACCGUGCUAUCAGAAGGUAUGGGAAGAUUUAGCAGUAAGUAUAAAGGAAGCUGAGCAAAUAAAAAAUCCCAAGGCAUUAUUAAUUCCAGGAAAAAUAAAAAGUUGCAUCCCCAAAGAAAGGAGUUGUGAUCAUGGUCCACUAGUAACUUACCAAAGAAUAAUAUUUAUACAGUAGUAAUAAUGUAAGUACUAAGAACUGAAUUAACCAAAAAUUGGUGAUAUAGGUAGAAAUGGGAAGAGAGAGACAUUUUAGAGGUAAAUAUUCUCUAUCAUAAUAGAAAGUUAAAUCAUUACUGUUUCAAGAGAGAGGAGUAUAAGCAUGGAGAUAUGGAAGUAUAUUCCAUAAGAAACAAAUACGAAUUGAAAGUAGAUAUAUAGGGGAAGAUGCAGGUUUCCUAUGAGUGGGGGGAAAUGCAGGUUUCCUAAGAGUGGGGUAAGACACCACUGUAAGCCUUUGAUUAUUAUUUGACUUGUUAGAUUAUGGGCUUCUUUAAAUUUAAUAAAAAUUAAAGUUAAGCAUUUAAAAUGUGUCUUUAGAAUAAAAUGACUUAAAUGUUUCUAUAAGAAUGAAGAGGCAAGGAUCUAUUAAACAAUUCUGAAGUUUUCAUUUAGAGUAUUUUUUCACCCAAAAGGAGAAAGAAUGUUGAAAUCUCACUAAUAGACAAAAAAUGGUGACUUUAAAGAAAGAGUUUGGUUAAGUUUUGUUUUUUGUUUUUUUCACAUGUGCCAAAUGACAUAUAGCUUUCCAACUAUGAACUCUCUGAGAACAUAAAGAGUCUCUUAUUUGUAUUUCUAUUGGCUUCACAAAUGGACACAGAGCCUGGCAUACAGUCAGCCCUUGAUGUUGGUGAAUAAAGAAAAAUUCAGGAGGCAUUUUAAAAUAAAAAAGUUUCUGACUUUCCA
Marmota monax (woodchuck) is the source of this 1559-nucleotide long non-coding RNA. RefSeq lists it as uncharacterized. The transcript is spliced from 2 exons. Lineage: Eukaryota; Metazoa; Chordata; Mammalia; Rodentia; Sciuridae. The record is from RefSeq and is a predicted model, not a curated record.